AUUGAACGCUGGCGGCAGGCCUAACACAUGCAAGUCGAAUGGUAACAGGAAACAGCUUGCUGUUUCGCUGACGAGUGGCGGACGGGUGAGUAAUGUCUGGGAAACUGCCUGAUGGAGGGGGAUAACUACUGGAAACGGUAGCUAAUACCGCAUAACGUCGCAAGACCAAAGAGGGGGACCUUCGGGCCUCUUGCCAUCAGAUGUGCCCAGAUGGGAUUAGCUAGUAGGUGGGGUAACGGCUCACCUAGGCGACGAUCCCUAGCUGGUCUGAGAGGAUGACCAGCCACACUGGAACUGAGACACGGUCCAGACUCCUACGGGAGGCAGCAGUGGGGAAUAUUGCACAGUGGGCGCAAGCCUGAUGCAGCCAUGCCGCGUGUAUGAAGAAGGCCUUCGGGUUGUAAAGUACUUUCAGCGGGGAGGAAGGGAGUAAAGUUAAUACCUUUGCUCAUUGACGUUACCCGCAGAAGAAGCACCGGCUAACUCCGU
Molecule: ribosomal RNA, 489 nt
Filed under: uncultured bacterium
Lineage: Bacteria
Description: partial 16S ribosomal RNA
Rfam family: Bacterial small subunit ribosomal RNA
Source: RNAcentral